This 381-nucleotide unclassified non-coding RNA is filed under the name Hevea brasiliensis (rubber tree). Lineage: Eukaryota; Viridiplantae; Streptophyta; Magnoliopsida; Malpighiales; Euphorbiaceae. The record is from RNAcentral.
GCGCUGCCAAAACAUGCGCUCCGCUCAAAUCUCAAUUGACAGCCCUUCCCUUGCUACCACGGUCCCCGGCCGCGCCUUCGCGGCGGCAGCGGCAAUACGGUCCAUCUCGUCAUCGUCGUGUUCGGGAUCGUGGUGAAACAGAUAGAGCUUGCCAACCCCCGCUUCAUUGGCCAGGCGGACGGCCUGCUGCCAGCUUGAGUGCCCCCAGCCGACAUGCUCGGGCAACUCCUCGUCGGUGUAUGUCGUGUCGAUGAUGACAAUCGACGCGUCGCGUGCGAGUUCGACCAGCCCCGGAUCGAUUUCAUCGGCACUGAGUUCGGUGUCUGUGAUGUAGGCCAUGGCGCGGCCGCCAAACUCGACGCGGUAUCCAGUUGCACCGCC